RNAcentral lists this transfer RNA (90 nucleotides) under Sodalis-like symbiont of Philaenus spumarius. RNAcentral's name for it is "tRNA-Leu". It matches the Rfam family "tRNA". From Rfam's summary of the family: Transfer RNA (tRNA) molecules are approximately 80 nucleotides in length. Their secondary structure includes four short double-helical elements and three loops (D, anti-codon, and T loops). Further hydrogen bonds mediate the characteristic L-shaped molecular structure. tRNAs have two regions of fundamental functional importance: the anti-codon, which is responsible for specific mRNA codon recognition, and the 3' end, to which the tRNAs corresponding amino acid is attached (by aminoacyl-tRNA synthetases). tRNAs cope with the degeneracy of the genetic code in two manners: having more than one tRNA (with a specific anti-codon) for a particular amino acid; and 'wobble' base-pairing, i.e. permitting non-standard base-pairing at the 3rd anti-codon position. The record is from RNAcentral. Lineage: Bacteria; Pseudomonadati; Pseudomonadota; Gammaproteobacteria; Enterobacterales; Bruguierivoracaceae.
GCCUGGAUGGUGGAACUGGUAGACACGCAGGACUUAAAAUCCUGUAGCUAUUAAAAAGCUGUGCGGGUUCAAUUCCCGCUCUAGGUACUA